This 406-nucleotide ribosomal RNA is filed under the name uncultured bacterium. RNAcentral's name for it is "partial 16S ribosomal RNA". It matches the Rfam family "Bacterial small subunit ribosomal RNA", at positions 30 to 526 of the family's 1533-position model. The record is from RNAcentral.
AUUGAACGCUGGCGGCAGGCUUAACACAUGCAAGUCGAACGAGUGGCGGACGGGUGAGUAAUGCUUGGGAAUCUAGCUUAUGGAGGGGGAUAACUACGGGAAACUGUAGCUAAUACCGCUUACCAUAGGAUGAGUCUACGUGGGAUUAGGUAGUUGGUGGGGUAAAGGCUCACCAGGCCGACGAUCUCUAGCUGGUCUGCGAGGCUGACCUGCCACACUGGGACUGAGACACGGCCCAGACUCCUACGGGAGGCAGCAGUGGGGAAUAUUGCGCAAUGGGGGCAACCCUGAUGCAGCCAUGCCGAGUGUGUGAAGAAGGCCUUCGGGUUGUAAAGCACUUUCAGCGGGGAGGCGUUACUCGCAGAAGAAGCACCGGCUAACUCCGUGCCAGCAGCCGCGGUAAUUC